Molecule: ribosomal RNA, 468 nt
Filed under: uncultured bacterium
Lineage: Bacteria
Description: partial 16S ribosomal RNA
Rfam family: Bacterial small subunit ribosomal RNA
Source: RNAcentral
GACGAACGCUGGCGGCGUGCUUAACACAUGCAAGUCGAACGGAAAGGCCCUGCUUUUGUGGGGUGCUCGAGUGGCGAACGGGUGAGUAACACGUGAGUAACCUGCCCUUGACUUUGGGAUAACUUCAGGAAACUGGGGCUAAUACCGGAUAGGAGCUCCUGCUGCAUGGUGGGGGUUGGAAAGUUUCGGCGGUUGGGGAUGGACUCGCGGCUUAUCAGCUUGUUGGUGGGGUAGUGGCUUACCAAGGCUUUGACGGGUAGCCGGCCUGAGAGGGUGACCGGCCACAUUGGGACUGAGAUACGGACCAGAAUCCUACGGGAGGCAGCAGGGGGGAAUAUUGCACAAUGGGCGGAAGCCUGAUGCAGCAACGCCGCGUGCGGGAUGACGGCCUUCGGGUUGUAAACCGCUUUCGCCUGUGACGAAGCGUGAGUGACGGUAAUGGGUAAAGAAGCACCGGCUAACUACGUG